RNAcentral lists this ribosomal RNA (253 nucleotides) under uncultured bacterium. RNAcentral describes it as "partial 16S ribosomal RNA". It matches the Rfam family "Bacterial small subunit ribosomal RNA", at positions 524 to 776 of the family's 1533-position model. The record is from RNAcentral.
UACGAGGGGGGCAAGCGUUGUUCGGAAUUAUUGGGCGUAAAGGGCGCGUAGGCGGUUUGACAAGUCUGAUGUGAAAUCUAUGGGCUCAACCCAUAGCCUGCAUUAGAAACUGUCGGGCCUGAGUAUGGGAGAGGUGAGUGGAAUUUCCGGUGUAGCGGUGAAAUGCGUAGAUAUCGGAAGGAACACCUGUGGCGAAAGCGGCUCACUGGACCAUAACUGACGCUGAGGCGCGAAAGCUAGGGGAGCAAACAGG